RNAcentral lists this ribosomal RNA (1854 nucleotides) under Escherichia coli. Its description in RNAcentral is "partial 23S ribosomal RNA". It matches the Rfam family "Bacterial large subunit ribosomal RNA", at positions 397 to 2236 of the family's 2925-position model. Lineage: Bacteria; Pseudomonadati; Pseudomonadota; Gammaproteobacteria; Enterobacterales; Enterobacteriaceae. The record is from RNAcentral.
CUGUGAGCUCGAUGAGUAGGGCGGGACACGUGGUAUCCUGUCUGAAUAUGGGGGGACCAUCCUCCAAGGCUAAAUACUCCUGACUGACCGAUAGUGAACCAGUACCGUGAGGGAAAGGCGAAAAGAACCCCGGCGAGGGGAGUGAAAAAGAACCUGAAACCGUGUACGUACAAGCAGUGGGAGCACGCUUAGGCGUGUGACUGCGUACCUUUUGUAUAAUGGGUCAGCGACUUAUAUUCUGUAGCAAGGUUAACCGAAUAGGGGAGCCGAAGGGAAACCGAGUCUUAACUGGGCGUUAAGUUGCAGGGUAUAGACCCGAAACCCGGUGAUCUAGCCAUGGGCAGGUUGAAGGUUGGGUAACACUAACUGGAGGACCGAACCGACUAAUGUUGAAAAAUUAGCGGAUGACUUGUGGCUGGGGGUGAAAGGCCAAUCAAACCGGGAGAUAGCUGGUUCUCCCCGAAAGCUAUUUAGGUAGCGCCUCGUGAAUUCAUCUCCGGGGGUAGAGCACUGUUUCGGCAAGGGGGUCAUCCCGACUUACCAACCCGAUGCAAACUGCGAAUACCGGAGAAUGUUAUCACGGGAGACACACGGCGGGUGCUAACGUCCGUCGUGAAGAGGGAAACAACCCAGACCGCCAGCUAAGGUCCCAAAGUCAUGGUUAAGUGGGAAACGAUGUGGGAAGGCCCAGACAGCCAGGAUGUUGGCUUAGAAGCAGCCAUCAUUUAAAGAAAGCGUAAUAGCUCACUGGUCGAGUCGGCCUGCGCGGAAGAUGUAACGGGGCUAAACCAUGCACCGAAGCUGCGGCAGCGACGCUUAUGCGUUGUUGGGUAGGGGAGCGUUCUGUAAGCCUGCGAAGGUGUGCUGUGAGGCAUGCUGGAGGUAUCAGAAGUGCGAAUGCUGACAUAAGUAACGAUAAAGCGGGUGAAAAGCCCGCUCGCCGGAAGACCAAGGGUUCCUGUCCAACGUUAAUCGGGGCAGGGUGAGUCGACCCCUAAGGCGAGGCCGAAAGGCGUAGUCGAUGGGAAACAGGUUAAUAUUCCUGUACUUGGUGUUACUGCGAAGGGGGGACGGAGAAGGCUAUGUUGGCCGGGCGACGGUUGUCCCGGUUUAAGCGUGUAGGCUGGUUUUCCAGGCAAAUCCGGAAAAUCAAGGCUGAGGCGUGAUGACGAGGCACUACGGUGCUGAAGCAACAAAUGCCCUGCUUCCAGGAAAAGCCUCUAAGCAUCAGGUAACAUCAAAUCGUACCCCAAACCGACACAGGUGGUCAGGUAGAGAAUACCAAGGCGCUUGAGAGAACUCGGGUGAAGGAACUAGGCAAAAUGGUGCCGUAACUUCGGGAGAAGGCACGCUGAUAUGUAGGUGAAGUCCCUCGCGGAUGGAGCUGAAAUCAGUCGAAGAUACCAGCUGGCUGCAACUGUUUAUUAAAAACACAGCACUGUGCAAACACGAAAGUGGACGUAUACGGUGUGACGCCUGCCCGGUGCCGGAAGGUUAAUUGAUGGGGUCAGCGCAAGCGAAGCUCUUGAUCGAAGCCCCGGUAAACGGCGGCCGUAACUAUAACGGUCCUAAGGUAGCGAAAUUCCUUGUCGGGUAAGUUCCGACCUGCACGAAUGGCGUAAUGAUGGCCAGGCUGUCUCCACCCGAGACUCAGUGAAAUUGAACUCGCUGUGAAGAUGCAGUGUACCCGCGGCAAGACGGAAAGACCCCGUGAACCUUUACUAUAGCUUGACACUGAACAUUGAGCCUUGAUGUGUAGGAUAGGUGGGAGGCUUUGAAGUGUGGACGCCAGUCUGCAUGGAGCCGACCUUGAAAUACCACCCUUUAAUGUUUGAUGUUCUAACGUUGACCCGU